Molecule: ribosomal RNA, 237 nt
Filed under: uncultured Staphylococcus sp.
Lineage: Bacteria; Bacillati; Bacillota; Bacilli; Caryophanales; Staphylococcaceae
Description: partial 16S ribosomal RNA
Rfam family: Bacterial small subunit ribosomal RNA
Source: RNAcentral
CGGGUGAGUAACACGUGGAUAACCUACCUAUAAGACUGGGAUAACUUCGGGAAACCGGAGCUAAUACCGGAUAAUAUUUUGAACCGCAUGGUUCAAAAGUGAAAGACGGUCUUGCUGUCACUUAUAGAUGGAUCCGCGCUGCAUUAGCUAGUUGGUAAGGUAACGGCUUACCCAGGCAACGAUGCAUAGCCGACCUGAGAGGGUGAUCGGCCACACUGGAACUGAGACACGGUCCAG